CCUACGGGAGGCAGCAGUCGAGAAUUUUUCUCAAUGGGCGCAAGCCUGAAGGAGCGACGCCGCGUGGGGGAUGAAGGGUUUCGAUCCGUAAACCCCUGUCAUUCAUGAACAAUGCUUGCCCAUGAACAAUGGGCAAGUUGAUAGUAAUGGAAGAGGAAGGGACGGCUAACUCUGUGCCAGCAGCCGCGGUAAUACAGAGGUCCCGAGCGUUGUUCGGAUUCACUGGGCGUAAAGGGUGCGUAGGUGGCAUGGCAAGUUUGAUGUGAAAGCUCAGGGCUUAACCCUGAAAUGGCAUUGAAUACUGCUGUGCUGGAGGUUUGGAGGGGGGACUGGAAUUCUUGGUGUAGCAGUGAAAUGCGUAGAUAUCAAGAGGAACACCAGUGGCGAAGGCGAGUCCCUGGACAACACCUGACACUGAGGCACGAAAGCCGGGGGAGCAA
This 440-nucleotide ribosomal RNA is filed under the name uncultured bacterium. RNAcentral's name for it is "bacterial SSU rRNA". It matches the Rfam family "Bacterial small subunit ribosomal RNA", at positions 338 to 771 of the family's 1533-position model. The record is from RNAcentral.